GUGCUUGGUUCGGCAGCACAUACACUAACAUUGGAACGAUACAGAGAAGAUUAGCAUAGCCCCUACGCAAGGAUGGCGCAUUCCAUAUUUUU
RNAcentral lists this small nuclear RNA (92 nucleotides) under Mus caroli (Ryukyu mouse). The record is from RNAcentral. Lineage: Eukaryota; Metazoa; Chordata; Mammalia; Rodentia; Muridae.